AAAGAGUGGUAAACAAGAAGACCCUGAGAAGAAGAGAGCCCGGGACAUUCUGAGAACUGAAACAGAGCUAGCAAAGCUUUCACAGAGAGCGCUAAGUGAGAAUGAGGAGGAAGGGAAGGGAGUGAAACUGGAAAGUGGCCACAUCCCAGGGGACCCCAAGCUACCCACAUAAACAGGAAAAGUAGAGUAUUUGCUGCUUAAUCACAGCUUCUAAGUCUCCAGACCUCACUUUCCAGGUUGCUGGCCUUAACAGAACUCUAGAAACACCAUUGCCAGAGACAUGGGCAGAGGACAGAUCUGGAGGAUCUCAAAGGCUCUGGGUCUAUGUUAAGAUCUUCCCAGCUUUAGUGGAACAACGCAUCAGAGAAGCCAUGAGGGAUACUUGACAAACAUCCCCUUCAAACCGAAAGAUGCACAUAAGAGCCCCCCAAAUUCCCUCCUGUUGCUAAAGAUAAGUUAAGAAGAGAAAAAGAAGGUGAGAGUUGUAACACAAAUACAGCGUUAAAACCUUCAUUUAUGAGAGAAGUGCUGGGAAGCUGUGCAGAAAACAAAAAAGACAUCCUAUCUGUGGAAACUCCAAAAGGGCCUGUGCUGUUGAUUUUAUGGAUUUGAUGUUUCACAGACCAAACUAAGAACAUUUGAAUCCAUUCCAAUUUCACGUCGACAGGUUUUAUUUUUUACAGCAGCAGAAGCAUUGGUCUCCUUACCAAAUAUGGAUACUGAAACCAUGUUCCAAGUCCCUGCUACAGCUACAUGUUCAAUGUCUACUUCAGCCAGUUUCGUGAAGGAGCAAACCGAUCAUUUUUCCCUGUGUGCAUCUUCCUGCCUUGCUUGGAGUUUGUCAGAGGUUUGCAGGGACACCAUGAUCUGACCCACGAGCACAGCUACAAGAACAAA
Non-coding RNA from Vicugna pacos (alpaca), 897 nucleotides. Lineage: Eukaryota; Metazoa; Chordata; Mammalia; Artiodactyla; Camelidae. The record is from RefSeq and is a predicted model, not a curated record.